This is a long non-coding RNA of Bactrocera oleae (olive fruit fly), 577 nucleotides long. RefSeq lists it as uncharacterized. Lineage: Eukaryota; Metazoa; Arthropoda; Insecta; Diptera; Tephritidae. The record is from RefSeq and is a predicted model, not a curated record.
GUUUAGUCGACAGCUUUCUUACUCUUUACUUUAUACUGUCAUUCUCACGACUUCUGUUCUGUUCAUCUAUUUGUUUUGCUGUUCGUAUCUUCAUAUCUCAACCGCCUGUUUUACGGAAAGUCGAAAGUAAAAGACACAUAUUCGUAUGUAAUAUUUAUUAUAACAAAACUGAGCGUUCAGUUAUUUUCUCAAUGGUAAAUGUUUUCUCUUCACUAACGUGGAAAAACGUAUGCAUUAAUACACCGACCUACACGACACAGUAAAAAUCACUCAAUGUGUUUAUACGAGAAUUAACAUUGAUAUAUAUAAGCAUAUACUAAUCUACAUGGAUAUGUGUUAAAAUGCAUACACAGUAUAUAGCUUGUUACGCAUCAAACAAAAGAAACGAUAAAUUCGAGAGCGAGUUAGUUAUACUAUCUGGAGGAUAAGAUCUGGAGGAAAACGUAUAAUUUAUAGAUAAUUUGAACUGUAUUAAAUAUCAAAAAAUACAAAAAUAUGGUAUAAAAAAAUAAUUUAACAAAUAACAUUAGUAGUAAGAACACUAAUAUAAUAUAAGUUUUAUAUGUGAGUAAUGAAA